GCCUUCGUGGUGUAGAGGUCAGAACGCUCGACGUAUAUUCGAGAGGUCCGUGGUUCGAUUCCCGGCGAAGGCG
RNAcentral lists this transfer RNA (73 nucleotides) under Stegodyphus mimosarum. It matches the Rfam family "tRNA". Rfam says of the family: Transfer RNA (tRNA) molecules are approximately 80 nucleotides in length. Their secondary structure includes four short double-helical elements and three loops (D, anti-codon, and T loops). The record is from Rfam by way of RNAcentral. Lineage: Eukaryota; Metazoa; Arthropoda; Arachnida; Araneae; Eresidae.